GAAACACACCGGAAGACAAGUCCUUGCAGCCUGCUGUCUCCGAGGGCAGUGGUGAGGCGCUGGGUGAGAGACCCUGAAACACGAGAUUUUCUUUCUUUGAACAUUAUGUUGAAUCAGCUGCAUUGAAGAAAUCUUACCAGCAGGUAGCAACAUGAAACCAAGAACUCAGGACACUAGUUCAUGAUGUCUGAGAGGAGAAUGGCAUUUGCUGUGUCCCUGACAAGAGGAAACACAGACUCAGACCAGAAAGGACAAUGCCACAUGAAGAUGGAGACAGAGAUUGGAUGUGUCUCCAAGCCAAGGAGCACCAAGGAUGA
RNAcentral lists this long non-coding RNA (317 nucleotides) under Mustela putorius furo (domestic ferret). RNAcentral describes it as "lncRNA (ENSMPUG00000025231.1)". Lineage: Eukaryota; Metazoa; Chordata; Mammalia; Carnivora; Mustelidae. The record is from RNAcentral.